Molecule: ribosomal RNA, 453 nt
Filed under: uncultured bacterium
Lineage: Bacteria
Description: bacterial SSU rRNA
Rfam family: Bacterial small subunit ribosomal RNA
Source: RNAcentral
GCACAAGCGGUGGAGCAUGUGGUUUAAUUCGAUGCACGCGAAGAACCUUACCAGGGUUUGACAUCCUGCGAAUCCCUUGGAAACGAGGGAGUGCCUUCGGGAACGCAGUGACAGGUGGUGCAUGGCUGUCGUCAGCUCGUGUCGUGAGAUGUUGGGUUAAGUCCCGCAACGAGCGCAACCCACGUCGUUAGUUGCCAGCAUUUAGUUGGGCACUCUAGCGAGACCGCCGGUGAUAAACCGGAGGAAGGUGUGGAUGACGUCAAGUCAUCAUGCCCCUUACAUCCUGGGCUACACACGUACUACAAUGCUACGGACAAAGGGCAGCAAACCCGCGAGAGCUAGCAAAUCCCAUAAACCGUGGCUCAGUUCAGAUCGUAGGCUGCAACUCGCCUACGUGAAGGAGGAAUCGCUAGUAAUCGCAGGUCAGCAUACUGCGGUGAUACGUUCCCGGGC